Molecule: long non-coding RNA, 612 nt
Filed under: Parus major (Great Tit)
Lineage: Eukaryota; Metazoa; Chordata; Aves; Passeriformes; Paridae
Description: lncRNA (ENSPMJG00000012687.1)
Source: RNAcentral
CAGAAGGAAUUUUUUUUAAAAGAAGGUACUGUGCAAACUUUUUACAUUACAAAAUCUUGCUCAGUUGCAAUCCAGACAUCCAACAGAGCAGGUCUCCUUUGGACUCCUUGGGAAUGGAUUUUUAUCGCAAAGAAGAAAUGAGCAGAGAGCUCAAGCUGGCUUUUCUCCAUCUGUGGAGACUUGUACUUGCUCCAUGGCUGCUCAUGGACCCCAGGAAAGAGGACAAGGAUUUCUCUAACAUACAGAGUGUACUGGAUCCUUUUGAUUUCUCAGCUCUUCAUUUUUCUUUCCCAGUGGAUGGAUGCAAAAAAUUUUAUCUGAAUAAUCCUAAGGCUACCUUCCAAGAAUCUGCUAACAAGUGCUAACAAAAAUCAAGAUCUCUCCUGAAACUGAAGCACACAGAACAGUGCCUAAAAUCAAUUUGUAUUGUAGUUUGAAAUCAUCUUUAACAACCCAGACAAAUGCAAAUGCAUGCAAUCAGUUUAUAUAUGCAGGAUUGUGUCAGUAGCAAGCAUUAUGCUUUCAAUAGAACUAUCAGGGAUGUGAACAGUUUUUGAUGUUAAGUUUACAAAGUUGUUUAAUAAUUUCUAUUCAUGAGUAUUCAAAUAAAAC